CACAAGCGGUGGAGUAUGUGGUUUAAUUCGAUGCAACGCGAAGAACUUACCUGGUUUUGACAUCCCGGAGACCCUUAGGAAACUAGGGGUGCUUCCAUCUGGAAGAAUCUGGAGACAGGUGCUGCAUGGCUGUCGUCAGCUCGUGUCGUGAGAUGUUGGGUUAAGUCCCGCAACGAGCGCAACCCUUGCCUUUAGUUGCCAGCAGUUCGGCUGGGCACUCUAAAGGGACUGCCGGUGUUAAACCGGAGGAAGGUGGGGAUGACGUCAAGUCCUCAUGGCCUUUAUGACCAGGGCUACACACGUACUACAAUGGCCGAUACAAAGGGCAGCGACACUGCGAGGUGAAGCCAAUCCCAUAAAAUCGGUCUCAGUCCGGAUUGGAGUCUGCAACUCGACUCCAUGAAGUUGGAAUCGCUAGUAAUCGUGGAUCAGCAUGCCACGGUGAAUACGUUCCCGGGCCUU
Molecule: ribosomal RNA, 462 nt
Filed under: uncultured Desulfobulbus sp.
Lineage: Bacteria; Pseudomonadati; Thermodesulfobacteriota; Desulfobulbia; Desulfobulbales; Desulfobulbaceae
Description: bacterial SSU rRNA
Rfam family: Bacterial small subunit ribosomal RNA
Source: RNAcentral